UGGGGAAUUUUGCGCAAUGGGGAAGACCCUGACGCAGCAACGCCGCGUGGAGGAUGAAGUCCCUUGGGACGUAAACUCCUUUCGAUCGGGACGAUUAUGACGGUACCGGAAGAAGAAGCCCCGGCUAACUACGUGCCAGCAGCCGCGGUAAUACGUAGGGGGCGGAGCGUUGUCCGGAGUGACUGGGCGUAAAGGGCUUGUAGGCGGUGAUGCGCGUCAACCGGGCCAGCUGGCAGCUUCCCUGCCGGAGAGCGGUUGAAACGGCAUGACUUGAGGGCGAGAGAGGGACAUGGAACUCCGGGUGGAGUGGUGAAAUGCGUAGAGAUCCGGAAGAACACCAAAGGCGAAGGCAGUGUCCUUGGCUUCGUUCCUGACGCUGAGGAGCGAGAGCUAGGGGAGC
RNAcentral lists this ribosomal RNA (400 nucleotides) under uncultured bacterium. Its description in RNAcentral is "bacterial SSU rRNA". It matches the Rfam family "Bacterial small subunit ribosomal RNA", at positions 355 to 769 of the family's 1533-position model. The record is from RNAcentral.